GAUGAAGAACGUAGCGAAAUGCGAUACUUGGUGUGAAUUGCAGAAUCCCGUGAACCAUCGAGUCUUUGAACGCAAGUUGCGCCUCAAGCCAUUAGGUUGAGGGCACGUCUGCCUGGGCGUCACAUAUCGUUGCCUGAUGCCAGUUUCCUCGUGAUGGGUGACUAUGCAGGGCGAAUGAUGGCUUCCCGUGAGCAUUGUUGCCUCAUGGUUGGUUGAAAAUUGAGUCCUUGGUAGGGAGCGCCGUGAUAGAUGGUGGUUGAGUGACGAACGAGACCCAAUCAUGUGAGACCCCUACCGAAUUUGGCCUUCAUGACCCACAUGCGUCUUUGGAACGCUCAUGACGAGACCUCAGGUCAGGCGGGGCUACCCGCUGAGUUUAAGCAUAUCAAUAAGCGGAGGA
Molecule: unclassified non-coding RNA, 400 nt
Filed under: soil metagenome
Description: partial contains 5.8S ribosomal RNA, internal transcribed spacer 2, and large subunit ribosomal RNA
Rfam family: 5.8S ribosomal RNA (bases 1-122)
Source: RNAcentral